AAAAUAAAAUUUGAUUUUAAAAAAAUUUAAUUUUUAAACUAGGAUUAGAUACCCUAUUAUUUUAAGCUUAAUGUUGGUAGUAAGUAAAAUUUAUGAAAUCAUAAAAUUUUGGCGGUAUUUUAAGCUUGUUAGAGGAAUUUGCUCUAUAAUGGAUACAACGCCUUCAUCUUACUUAAUUUUGUAAUUAAAGUCAGUUUGUAUACCACUAUAUUUAAUUAUAUUGAAUAAUUAUAUUUAAGAUUUUUAUAUAAAUAUAUAUUAAGUCAAGGUGCAACAAAUAAUUA
RNAcentral lists this ribosomal RNA (284 nucleotides) under Ixodes ricinus (castor bean tick). Its description in RNAcentral is "partial small subunit ribosomal RNA". Lineage: Eukaryota; Metazoa; Arthropoda; Arachnida; Ixodida; Ixodidae. The record is from RNAcentral.